GGUCAAUGAUGUCUUGGCAUGUAUUACCUGAAUCACUGCUGAUGUGUGCAAUCACUAGCUCUAGAAUUACGCUGAGACCUU
This is a small nucleolar RNA of Jaculus jaculus (lesser Egyptian jerboa), 81 nucleotides long. Lineage: Eukaryota; Metazoa; Chordata; Mammalia; Rodentia; Dipodidae. The record is from Ensembl.